Molecule: ribosomal RNA, 440 nt
Filed under: uncultured bacterium
Lineage: Bacteria
Description: partial 16S ribosomal RNA
Rfam family: Bacterial small subunit ribosomal RNA
Source: RNAcentral
CCUACGGGAGGCAGCAGUGGGGAAUAUUGCACAAUGGGGGCAACCCUGAUGCAGCGACGCCGCGUGCGUGAAGACGGAUUUCUGUAUUUAAAGCUCUAUUUGCAGGGGAGAAAAUCACGGUACCUGACUCGGGAUCAAAGGCUAACUACGUUCCAGCAGCCGCGGUAAUACGUCGGGGGCAAGCGUUAUCCGGAUUUACUGGGUGUAAAGGGAGCGUAGACGGUUCAUCAAGUCAGAAGUGAAAACCCAGGGCUCAACCUCGGGACUGCUUCUGAAACUGAGGAGCUAGAGUGCAGGAGCGGUAAGCGGAAUGUCUAGUGUAGCGGUGAAAUGCGUAGAGAUUAUGAGGAACACCAGUGGCGAAGGCAGCUUACUGGACUGCAACUGACGUUGAGGCUCGAAAGCGUGGGGAGCAAACAGGAUUAGAUACCCGGGUAGUC